CAGGCCCUUCACUCUUCUACUGAACCACUUUCUUCCAUGUGCACACGCUGAUUUCUCAACCUGGAAUCCUUUCCCUACACCUUUCCUCAAAGGACUGUUAAUGAGUUUUCAGAGGUACUUCACUGAAAUGUAACUACCACAAUGCAUCCUUUCCAUGUGACUAACUUCGCUCAUGGACCAGAAUCACUGCGGCUCUGCCCUGGAGUGGUGCAAAGAGCUCGCAUUCUGUUUGGAAAGCAAAUUAUUUAAAUCCAGUAGAGGACUCUCAAAUGUGGUUGGAAAAUCUAAGAAGACUUCCCAGAGGCAGCAGCACUAGUGUCAGGGAAAGAGCUCACAAAUUCCAUUGCUGUAGAACCCAUGUGUUGAAGACCACUACACUGGAAUCUAGUUUUCUAUCCUAAAAUCUACCUCCUGAGUUUGAGUAAGACUUGAACUAGUUUGCAAAUAUCUGUGAUCUUCACCUUGCCUGCCUGCAAAGCCCAUAAGCAAAUUCAGAAGAGACUUCUACUUGUCCAAAGCAACAUGGAGUAAAGUGGGUCAACUAGAAUUAAAAUAUGCUCCAGCCAAAGGUGACCAUGGGAACCUAUUGAUAAGGCUCUGGGGUCAGAUUCAUCUCUGUUCAGACAACUCUAGCGGUGUGACUCUGAGCAAGUGUUUUUUAACCUAAGUUCCUGCUUCCUCAACUGCAAAUGUAGGAAGGGUAACAUCUUCCUCAAAGUUGUAUGCUGGGGAUAACACAUGAAGGAGAUACCUGGGCCAUAUAAUUAUUUAAGAAAUGUUCAUUUAUUUCUUGAACUACCUUCUACCAACUAUUUGGUCUGAGUUUAUGAAACUGUAAAUUUUGUCUAACAUUUGCCUAACAAAGCAUUAUUACCUUGCUUAAAGAAACACACAAUACAUUCUAAACCAAAAAUAAUUUGAAUGUAAUCCAUUAUUUUGGAUUAAUCUAUAUCAUCACUCCCCUCCCUUAGAGAAGACAGGCCAAGAGUUGGUUGCAAUAACUUUUGAAGUAAAUUGAAGACCUUAUAAUUAACACUUAAGUCGGAGAAGUUAUUAUAUUUUCCAGUGUUUC
Molecule: long non-coding RNA, 1072 nt
Filed under: Pan troglodytes (chimpanzee)
Lineage: Eukaryota; Metazoa; Chordata; Mammalia; Primates; Hominidae
Description: long non-coding RNA NONPTRT001127
Source: RNAcentral